UUUUAAAGAGCACUUUUUCAAAUGGGGAACAUCAAUUGUUUUGGGAAAAUCGACGAUCAUUUAAGGUAAUCUUCCUUAUAUUUAUUGUUUUUCAUAACAAAAAGUGUGAAAAAAAUGUCUAAUUAGUUAUAAAUAAUCUACCAGACCUGCCAGAUCAGAGAAAUGGCACUUUUUCAAAAAUUCCCAGGGGGAACCAAAAUCCAGGGUGCUCGCAUAAGGCAGCUUAACUGCCUAAAAACAACAACCUUGAUUAAACCUUCAACACUAAAUCAGAAAUUGAAGAGAAAUUUGAGGAAGAAUUCAUUCCAGAUUAUGAUGAGGAAAUCACCAGCAGCGAGAAAGAAGUUGCCAUUGUGGAAGUAGAGAUAAAUGUACAUGUAGAUGAAAGGGAUGAACAAAUUGAGGAACUUAAAUACAAAAUAAAAGAAAUGGAGGAAGAAUACAGGAAAGAAACCCACA
This 459-nucleotide long non-coding RNA is filed under the name Mytilus galloprovincialis (Mediterranean mussel). The record is from RNAcentral. Lineage: Eukaryota; Metazoa; Mollusca; Bivalvia; Mytilida; Mytilidae.